UACAAAAACACCGCCUGCUUCCUUUUUAGUAGGUAGAUUCUGCCCAAUGAGACUUAAAUGGCCGCAGUAUCCUGACUGUGCUAAGGUAGCAUAAUAAUUUGUCUCUUAAUUGGAGGCUAGUAUGAAUGAACUGACGAAGAAAAGACUGUCUCAGGAGGGGAAGAGAAAAUUUAUACUCAGGUAAAAAAUCCUGAAAGCUGUAGAGGGACGAUAAGACCCUAAAAGCUUUACCCUUAAAGCCUAAGCUCCUAUAGCUUUAUUAGGCCUGUAGGGUUUUCACUGGGGCGGUGUCUCUGUUAAACCAGAGCAGUUAAAACACUCUGAGUGAAUUUAAUAACCUUAGCUAAAAUAUUUAAGUAAGUUACUUUAGGGAUAACAGCGCAAUUCUCUGUGAGAGCCCUUAUCGACCAGAGAGAUUACGACCUCGAUGUUGAAUUGAAGACUUAGCCAGAGCAGCAUUUGGUAAAAG
This 469-nucleotide ribosomal RNA is filed under the name Ligia exotica. Its description in RNAcentral is "partial 16S ribosomal RNA". It matches the Rfam family "Bacterial large subunit ribosomal RNA", at positions 1806 to 2571 of the family's 2925-position model. Lineage: Eukaryota; Metazoa; Arthropoda; Malacostraca; Isopoda; Ligiidae. The record is from RNAcentral.